AAAACGACUCUCGGCAACGGAUAUCUAGGCUCUAGCAUCGAUGAAGAACGUAGCGAAAUGCGAUACUUGGUGUGAAUUGCAGAAUCCCGUGAACCAUCGAGUUUUUGAACGCAAGUUGCGCCCGAAGCCAUUAGGCCGAGGGCACGCCUGCCUGGGCGUCACG
This 163-nucleotide ribosomal RNA is filed under the name Chamaepentas longituba. Its description in RNAcentral is "5.8S ribosomal RNA". It matches the Rfam family "5.8S ribosomal RNA". From Rfam's summary of the family: 5.8S ribosomal RNA (5.8S rRNA) is a component of the large subunit of the eukaryotic ribosome. The record is from RNAcentral. Lineage: Eukaryota; Viridiplantae; Streptophyta; Magnoliopsida; Gentianales; Rubiaceae.